AGUCGAGCGGUGAAAUUUUGACAGAUCCCUUCGGGGAGAAGAUAAAAUGGAUUAGCGGCGGACGGGUGAGUAACACGUGAGUAACCUGCCUUAGACAUUGGGAUAGCCUCGGGAAACCGGGAUUAAUACCGAAUAAAAUCACAGAUACACAUGUAUCCAUGAUCAAAACUCCGGCGGUCUAAGAUGGACUCGCGUCCCAUUAGCUAGUUGGUGAGGUAACGGCCCACCAAGGCGACGAUGGGUAGCCGGCCUGAGAGGGUGAACGGCCACAUUGGAACUGAGAAACGGUCCAAACUCCUACGGGAGGCAGCAGUGGGGAAUAUUGCACAAUGGAGGGAACUCUGAUGCAGCGACGCCGCGUGAACGAAGAAGGCUUUCGAGUCGUAAAGUUCUUUUAUAUGGGAAGAUAAUGACGGUACCAUAAGAAAAAGCCCCGGCUAACUACGUGCCAGCAGCCGCGGUAAUACGUAGGGGGCUAGCGUUGUCCGGAAUCACUGGGCGUAAAGGGUUCGCAGGCGGAAAUGCAAGUCAGAUGUAAAAGGCAGUAGCUUAACUACUGUAAGCAUUUGAAACUGCGUAUCUUGAGAAGAGUAGAGGUAAGUGGAAUUUUUAGUGUAGCGGUGAAAUGCGUAGAUAUUAAAAAGAAUACCGGUGGCGAAGGCGACUUACUGGGCUCAUUCUGACGCUGAGGAACGAAAGCGUGGGUAGCAAACAGGAUUAGAUACCCUGGUAGUCCACGCUGUAAACGAUGAGUGCUAGGUGUCGGCUUAAGUCGGUGCCGCAGUUAACACAAUAAGCACUCCGCCUGGGG
This 811-nucleotide ribosomal RNA is filed under the name uncultured bacterium. RNAcentral describes it as "bacterial SSU rRNA". It matches the Rfam family "Bacterial small subunit ribosomal RNA", at positions 60 to 878 of the family's 1533-position model. The record is from RNAcentral.